This 423-nucleotide ribosomal RNA is filed under the name uncultured bacterium. Its description in RNAcentral is "bacterial SSU rRNA". It matches the Rfam family "Bacterial small subunit ribosomal RNA", at positions 358 to 773 of the family's 1533-position model. The record is from RNAcentral.
GGAAUAUUGGACAAUGGGCGCAAGCCUGAUCCAGCAAUGCCGCGUGUGUGAAGAAGGCCUUCGGGUUGUAAAGCACUUUAAGUUGGGAGGAACGCCUUUGUGUUAAUAGCACAGAGGGGUGACGUUACCAACAGAAUACGCACCGGCUAACCCCGUGCCACCAGCCGAGGUAAUACGGAGGGUGCAAGCGUUAAUCGGAUUUACGGGGCGUAAAGCGCGCGUAGGCGGUUUGUUAAGUCAGAUGUGAAAUCCCCGGGCUCAACCUGGGAAUGGCAUUUGAGACUGGCAGGCUAGAGUGUGGUAGAGGUGAGUGGAAUUUCAGGUGUAGCGGUGAAAUGCGUAGAGAUCUGAAGGAACAUCAGUGGCGAAGGCGACUCACUGGGCCAUUACUGACGCUGAGGUGCGAAAGCGUGGGUAGCAAAC